Molecule: non-coding RNA, 2400 nt
Filed under: Cardioglossa elegans (elegant long-fingered frog)
Lineage: Eukaryota; Metazoa; Chordata; Amphibia; Anura; Arthroleptidae
Description: partial contains 12S ribosomal RNA, tRNA-Val, and 16S ribosomal RNA
Rfam family: Bacterial small subunit ribosomal RNA (bases 11-954)
Source: RNAcentral
CGNNNAAAANNAANGGUUNCNUUUGGUCCUAGUCUUAUUAUCAGCUACUACUUAACUUACACAUGCAAGUCUCAGCGACCCAGUUGAGAACGCCCUUAAACCUGCGAGGAGAAGGAGCUGGUAUCAGGCACAGCACUCUAGCCCACAACACCUAACAUCGUCACACCCCCAAGGGUAUUCAGCAGUGAUUAACAUUGAUAGUAAGCGACAGCUUGACCCAGUUAAAGUAAAUAAAGUUGGCCAAUUCGGUGCCAGCCGCCGCGGCUACACCGUAAGACUUAAGUUGAUAAUCAACGGCGUUAAACGUGUUUUAAGUAACCAAAAAUUAGAAUUAAACCAAAGCCAUAUCGUGAUAAUUAUGCUCAACAGAAAUACUGAACGAAAGUCAUUCUAAUUAAUCACUUGAAUCCACGACAGUUAAGAAACAAACUGGGAUUAGAUACCCCACUAUGCUUAACCGUAAAAUGUAUACUCACACCUUAAUAGCCAGGAUAGUACGAGCGCAUGCUUAAAAUUCAAAGGACUUGACGGUGUCCCACCCGACUAGAGGAGCCUGUUCUAUAAUCGAUAAUCCCCGAUAAACCCAACCACUUUUAGCUUAUCAGUCUGUAUACCUCCGUCGCAAGCUUAUCGUAUGAAUGGUAUUAAAUAAGCGAGAAGAUCAUUACACCAAUACGUCAGGUCAAGGUGCAGCCCACAAAGUGGUGAGAAAUGGGCUACAAUUUCUAAUUUAGAACACACGGAAAAAAUUUAUAUGAAAAAUUGUUUGAAGGCGGAUUUAGCAGUAAAGGGUAAAUAAAGUGUACCCUUUAAUUUGGCACUGGGACGCGUACACACCGCCCGUCACCCUCUUUGAUCAAAAUAACCUAGUUAAUAACAAUACUACAGCUCAUGAAAAGAGGCAAGUCGUAACAUGGUAAGCAUACUGGAAAGUGUGCUUGGAUUAACAAAAUAUAGCUUAAACAAAGCACUUCGCUUACACCGAAAACAUAUCUGUUUUAGUCAGAUUAUUUUGAGCCCUAAAUUCCGCCUUCCUCCCCACACUUUUCUCACCAUACCCAAUUUACCAGAUGAAACAUCUUAUCAACCAAGUAAAGGCGAACGAAAAUUUAAUAAGAGCCGUAUAUGAAGUACCGCAAGGGAAAAAUGAAAUAGAAAUGAAAUAAACAAAAAGCAAACAAAAGCAGAGAUUAACACUUGUACCUUUUGCAUCAUGGUCUAGCUAGUCUUAACAAGCAAAUUAUAUUAUUAAGCCUGUACUCCCGAAACUAGCGCGAGCUACUUAAAAACAGCCUUAAGGGCCAACCCGUCUCUGUUGCAAAAGAGUGGGAAGAUUUUUAAGUAGAAGUGACAUGCCUAUCGAGCCUAGAAAUAGCUGGUUGCUCAAGAAAAGAACUUCAGUUCUGCCUCAAAUACCAACAUAACAUUUAAUAUAUAUAUUUGAGAGUUAUUCAAAUACGGUACAGCCUAUUUGAUGUUGAAUACAAUCAAAAAGCCCGGGUAAUGCAACUUACUGCUUAGUCAAGUUGGCCUAAAAGCAGCCACCUUAAAUAGCGUCACAGCUUAAUUAAUAUGUUCAUCAAUCUCCUCAACUAUGCAAAACCCUACCCUCCUAUUGAGCACUUUUAUAUUUUAUAAAAGAUAUUAUGCUAGAACUAGUAACAAGAAUUAAUCUCCAAAAUGUAAGUAUACCUCAAACAUGAAUAUUAUUACUGAGUAAUAACUCCACCCUAGAAACCCCUACUAAUUCCCGACAUUAAACUUACACAAGAACACUUCUGGAAAGAUUAAAACAAAAAGAAGGAACUCGGCAAAUUUUAGUCUCGACUGUUUACCAAAAACAUUACCUCUUGAUCAAACAUAAGAGGCCACGCCUGCCCAGUGAUCAUUUCAACGGCCACGGUACCCUAACCGCGCGAAGGUAGCACAAUCACUUGUUCUCUAAAUAAGGACCGGUAUGAACGGCAUCACGAAGACUAUACUGUCUCCUUUCUGUAAUCAGUGAAACUGAUCCCCCCGUGAAAAAGCGGGGAUUAUACUACAAGACGAGAAGACCCCAUGGAGCUUUAAGAAAAUAGCAACUGCCACUAAAACAACACAGAAAAUAUGACAGACCUGACUAUCAACUUUAGGUUGGGGAGACCAUGGAGUAAAACAAAACCUCCACACUGAACGGGCCAGGCCCUAAUUUAAGAACCACAACUCCAAAAAUCAACAUAUUGACAUUUAUUGAUCCAAACCCUUGAUUAAUGAACCAAGUUACCCUGGGGAUAACAGCGCAAUCCAUUUCAAGAGCCCCUAUCGACAAAUGGGUUUACGACCUCGAUGUUGGAUCAGGGUAUCCCAGUGGUGCAGCCGCUACUAAAGGUUGUUGUUCACAAUUAAACCUACGUGAUCUGA